Molecule: small nucleolar RNA, 136 nt
Organism: Spea bombifrons (plains spadefoot toad)
Lineage: Eukaryota; Metazoa; Chordata; Amphibia; Anura; Pelobatidae
Source: RefSeq, a predicted model, not a curated record
CACGGCCCCAAUCCAAGCCAUGGCAGCAGUUUCAUAGCUGGUGUGGAUAGAAGUGAGCCAAGAGUAAUGCUUUCUUGACGGUCGCUGCUCAGUAUAACUUUGUGACUGACUAGCAACAUUUCAGAAAGUGACACAU